RNAcentral lists this ribosomal RNA (286 nucleotides) under Candidatus Bathyarchaeota archaeon. Its description in RNAcentral is "partial 16S ribosomal RNA". It matches the Rfam family "Archaeal small subunit ribosomal RNA", at positions 391 to 679 of the family's 1478-position model. The record is from RNAcentral. Lineage: Archaea; Thermoproteati; Candidatus Bathyarchaeota.
CCCGUUGAGGGCAGCUUUUCCAUGGUGUAAGGAGCCGUGGGAAUAAGGAGAGGGCAAGUCUGGUGUCAGCCGCCGCGGUAAUACCAGCUCUCCGAGUGGUGGGGAUAAUUAUUGGGCUUAAAGCGUUCGUAGCCGGCUUGACAAGUCUUUCGUUAAAUUCAACGAUUUAAUCGUUGGUGUGCGGGAGAUACUGUUAGGCUAGGAGGCGGGAGAAGCCGACGGUAUUCUCGGGGUAGGGGUGAAAUCCUGUAAUCCCGGGAGGACCACCAGUGGCGAAGGCGGUCGG